Mesocricetus auratus (golden hamster) is the source of this 2062-nucleotide long non-coding RNA. RefSeq lists it as uncharacterized. NCBI's taxonomy places the organism in Eukaryota, Metazoa, Chordata, Mammalia, Rodentia, Cricetidae. The transcript is spliced from 2 exons. The record is from RefSeq and is a predicted model, not a curated record.
UAGAGCAGAGAUGGUGAAGGAGGAGGAGCAGCAGGCCCUGGCGAGAUCCACGGAGGUGCUUGCCACAGUGAGCCCUGGAAGAGCAGCUGAGCCAAGGCUCUGCGCCAGUCUUGGACUCGGAGCCUCCAGAACUACUGUCUACACGGCCUCCACCUCACUGUGUGCAGACUGUCUGCACUGCCUCCACCUCACUGUGAGCAGACUGUCUACACGGCCUCCACCUCACUGUGCAGACUGUCUACACCGCCUCCACCUCAGACUGUCCACACUGUCUCCAGAAGGUAAGCAGGAAGCUGGGAGCCGUGGAAGCUCAACACCAAGAGUGAAGAAAACGAAAGCUCUCAAGAGGAAAGCCAAGGAUCUGUGUGAGGUGAGUAGAAGGCGCAGUCUUGUGUUUUCUACAAAGGGUGAGGGGUGGAGGCAGGGUUAAACCCCGCGCAUCAGAUGAGCCAUUUCCACCUCAGAGGCUACAUCCAUCUCAGAGAGGAAAAGAGGGAUGUGAGAAACACCUUUAGGAUGACUCCAUUGUGCCCAGAUGAUCACUGUCUCCCACCUGCAGCUGUCUAAAGACAUCCAUGUGUAACUAUGUGUAGCUCAAGGUAGCUCAAGGCAUGUUAUCAAGACUCCUAUUAAUGAGAUGCCAAAAACACUCUAACACAUACAAGCUGAUUAAUUCCCCCAAAUGCUGGAAUGUCAUGAUUGGGGUUCCUCUGCAGCCCUCACUGAUGAUUCACAAUGCUCGGUGCUCAGAACUCCUUGUUGCUGUCAGCGCAAGAAGACUGCUUGACCCUGGCUGCUCCUUCCAGUUUCAAACCCUGCACCUGCAAUUCCGGACGGCACCACUAGGCGGCAGGCCAACACAAACUUUAACAAACAAGUCCCAUCUUUUAAGACUACAUCUAAGGAAAAUACAUCCUAAAUUAAAACAAGACACAAAUACAUAUAUUUAAAAACUUAUCAUAUUGAAAUAAAUUAAGAGUAUGAUAAUACCCACAGUUGGCCAGCGUUUGGAGAGACAUGCAGCAUUUGUGCGCUGUUGGUGGGAAUGUAAAUGAGUGCAGCCUCCCAGAGGGCAAUUUGGCAAUGCACAUCAAAAGCCUUAAACAUGUGCAAAUCCUUUGGUGCAACAAUUCGACUUAUAGGCACUUAUUCUAGGGAGAUAAUCACAGAAAUAAGCCUUCACUUACUCCAGGAUGUUGAGUAUAAGGAUGAAAAACUGUCCAUGUUAAUAAUAUAACUCGGAGACUGGCUAAAUAAAACUAUACGUGUGAUCAGAUACUAUGCCGUCAUUACAUACUGUAAGAGUUUCUAAUGAUGUGGGAGUGUGUCAUGAUGUCUCCAGUGAAAAAGAGCAGCAUAUCCCUAUAGCCUUGUUUUUUAUAGUGGUAGCAUGGGAACAAAGUUGCCUAUAAAAAAAGCUAGAACAACACGAAAACAGUGAGAUUGAUUGUCUGUGGGUGGUGGGAGGAAGGACAUUGCUUUUUCCUUUUUUUUUUUUUGUGCCUUUCUCUAUUUUCCAAAUGUUUUACAAUAGACACGACAUGCAUUUAUUGCAACCAUAAGGUUCUGUUAACAAGCCCUUGGGGGCACGAAGGACAGGCAGCCUCUGUUCAGAAAGGGCAUGGAGACAGUGACCCCGGAGUCCUGUCAGCUCUGACCCCUUGAGUCCAUAACCGGCCUCACAGAUGUGGGUGGCCCCUGCUGCCCCUGUCCCUCAGCCCCUCCUACUGGCUGCACACAUGGACCUGGUUUCAGCUGGGGGUGGGGCGGGCCGAGGGGUAAAUGGAGAAAGCACAGGCCAGGCCACCACAGCCUUUGCCCCAUCUUGUCUUGCUCUUUCUCCCGGAGACUCUGGCUCAACGGGAAAAGGAAAAUCCUCCCUGGUCCUGAAGUUUGCCAACAAAAUGAACACGGCCUCUAAGAUUCCCUCAAACAAAAAAAUACCAGCACUAAAAUUCAGCCACAAAACAUCCUAAGACUGAUCAGUCUCAAUUCUGGCUUUCUAUCCAAAUGCUGGUGUAUGCUGAGCGGAUUGUUUUCCGCAUUAAACAUUUUUGUUACA